Molecule: long non-coding RNA, 223 nt
Filed under: Lathyrus oleraceus (garden pea)
Lineage: Eukaryota; Viridiplantae; Streptophyta; Magnoliopsida; Fabales; Fabaceae
Description: Pisum sativum (pea) long non-coding RNA (PSAT_LNC040843)
Source: RNAcentral
AUUUUUUCUCCACGACUAUUUGAAUACAAGUUCUCUUACUUGGUUAGUUAAAUAAUUGUCGUUCCUCUACAAAUUUCCAAACCCCGAUUAAAUCAAAAUAUUUUCACAGUAAGCUAAAUGAAAAGGGAGUUGACUUUGAGUUUUCAACUUCACUCCUCAGUUGGUCGAAUACGAGUUCUCUUACUCGGUCAGUCGAACAACUGUCAUUUUUCCGCAAACAUAC